Molecule: ribosomal RNA, 510 nt
Filed under: uncultured bacterium
Lineage: Bacteria
Description: partial 16S ribosomal RNA
Rfam family: Bacterial small subunit ribosomal RNA
Source: RNAcentral
AUUGAACGCUGGCGGCAUGCUUUACACAUGCAAGUCGAACGGCAGCGCGGACUUCGGUCUGGCGGCGAGUGGCGAACGGGUGAGUAAUACAUCGGAACGUACCCAGUAAUGGGGGAUAACUAUCCGAAAGGAUAGCUAAUACCGCAUACGACCUUCUUUAAUUAGUUGGUGAAAGUGGGGGACCUUCGGGCCUCACGUUAUUGGAGCGGCCGAUGGCUGAUUAGCUAGUUGGUAGGGUAAAGGCCUACCAAGGCAACGAUCAGUAGCGGGUCUUAGAGGACGAUCCGCCACACUGGAACUGAGACACGGUCCAGACUCCUACGGGAGGCAGCAGUGGGGAAUCUUGGACAAUGGGCGCAAGCCUGAUCCAGCAAUGCCGCGUGCGUGAAGAAGGCCUUCGGGUUGUAAAGCGCUUUUGUCUGGGAGCAAAAGGUGGGGGUUAAUACCUCUCGCUCUUGAGAGUACCAGAAGAAUAAGGACCGGCUAACUACGUGCCAGCCGCCGCGGUAA